RNAcentral lists this transfer RNA (74 nucleotides) under Endomicrobiia bacterium. Its description in RNAcentral is "tRNA-Met". It matches the Rfam family "tRNA". From Rfam's summary of the family: Transfer RNA (tRNA) molecules are approximately 80 nucleotides in length. Lineage: Bacteria; Pseudomonadati; Elusimicrobiota; Endomicrobiia. The record is from RNAcentral.
UGGCGGUGUAGCUCAGAGGUAGAGCAGAGGACUCAUAAGCCUUUGGUCGUGGGUUCAAUUCCCGCCGCCGCCAU